Molecule: long non-coding RNA, 298 nt
Filed under: Capra hircus (goat)
Lineage: Eukaryota; Metazoa; Chordata; Mammalia; Artiodactyla; Bovidae
Description: lncRNA (ENSCHIG00000007870.1)
Source: RNAcentral
GUGAAAAGGAUGGCUGUAUUUUUCUUUUCAAGUCCUGAGAGACCCUGCAUACGUUCUCCAGCAUCCUCAGGAGGAAAAAAAAAAGUUCCUAUCAAGGACAUCUUGCUACAGAGGACAUUAAACAUCUAUUUUUCUCUUAAGAAGUAGUGCUGCUCUGAAGACUCCUGGAGAUCCUGACAACCUUUUCCAUCAACUGGAUCAACCAAGAAGCAUUGCUACUUCAAGGAAGUAAGGUAUCAAUAUAAAAGUGAAUUUCCUUAUUUCCUGUUUCAAAGUUCAUAAAGCGAAUUUUCUUGAU